RNAcentral lists this unclassified non-coding RNA (229 nucleotides) under uncultured fungus. RNAcentral describes it as "sequence contains ITS1, 5.8S rRNA gene". The stretch from base 181 to 229 matches the Rfam family "5.8S ribosomal RNA", at positions 1 to 49 of the family's 154-position model. The record is from RNAcentral. Lineage: Eukaryota; Fungi.
UCUCCGUAGGUGAACCUGCGGAGGGAUCAUUAAUGUAUGUGCUUCGAGGUGGGAAACCGCCCUGCAUGCAUAUCCAUACCAUUGCUUGUAUACUCCAUGUUGCUUCCCCGGGUUUCGUCCCGGGAGAGGCCUCUUGUCUUGUUUAUAUUUUGAGUCAGUCAUACAAAACAACUUAAUUAAACCCACUAGCAACGGAUCUCUUGGUUCUGGCAUCGAUGAAGAACGCAGC